CUUCCGUUAAUUGAUUAUGACGUGCUUGCACUGAAUGAGAUUUUAACACGAAGUGAGUGGCGGACGGGUGAGUAACACGUGGGUAACCUGCCCAGAAGCAGGGGAUAACACCUGGAAACAGAUGCUAAUACCGUAUAACAGAGAAAACCGCCUGGUUUUCUUUUAAAAGAUGGCUCUGCUAUCACUUCUGGAUGGACCCGCGGCGCAUUAGCUAGUUGGUGAGGUAACGGCUCACCAAGGCGAUGAUGCGUAGCCGACCUGAGAGGGUAAUCGGCCACAUUGGGACUGAGACACGGCCCAGACUCCUACGGGAGGCAGCAGUAGGGAAUCUUCCACAAUGGACGCAAGUCUGAUGGAGCAACGCCGCGUGAGUGAAGAAGGGUUUCGGCUCGUAAAGCUCUGUUGUUAAAGAAGAACGUGGGUGAGAGUAACUGUUCACCCAGUGACGGUAUUUAACCAGAAAGCCACGGCUAACUACGUGCCAGCAGCCGCGGUAAUACGUAGGUGGCAAGCGUUAUCCGGAUUUAUUGGGCGUAAAGCGAGCGCAGGCGGUCUUUUAAGUCUAAUGUGAAAGCCUUCGGCUCAACCGAAGAAGUGCAUUGGAAACUGGGAGACUUGAGUGCAGAAGAGGACAGUGGAACUCCAUGUGUAGCGGUGAAAUGCGUAGAUAUAUGGAAGAACACCAGUGGCGAAGGCGGCUGUCUGGUCUGUAACUGACGCUGAGGCUCGAAAGCAUGGGUAGCGAACAGGAUUAGAUACCCUGGUAGUCCAUGCCGUAAACGAUGAUUACUAAGUGUUGGAGGGUUUCCGCCCUUCAGUGCUGCAGCUAACGCAUUAAGUAAUCCGCCUGGGGAGUACGACCGCAAGGUUGAAACUCAAAAGAAUUGACGGGGGCCCGCACAAGCGGUGGAGCAUGUGGUUUAAUUCGAAGCUACGCGAAGAACCUUACCAGGUCUUGACAUCUUCUGCCAACCUAAGAGAUUAGGCGUUCCCUUCGGGGACAGAAUGACAGGUGGUGCAUGGUUGUCGUCAGCUCGUGUCGUGAGAUGUUGGGUUAAGUCCCGCAACGAGCGCAACCCUUAUUACUAGUUGCCAGCAUUCAGUUGGGCACUCUAGUGAGACUGCCGGUGACAAACCGGAGGAAGGUGGGGACGACGUCAAAUCAUCAUGCCCCUUAUGACCUGGGCUACACACGUGCUACAAUGGAUGGUACAACGAGUCGCGAAACCGCGAGGUUUAGCUAAUCUCUUAAAACCAUUCUCAGUUCGGACUGUAGGCUGCAACUCGCCUACACGAAGUCGGAAUCGCUAGUAAUCGCGGAUCAGCAUGCCGCGGUGAAUACGUUCCCGGGCCUUGUACACACCGCCCGUCACACCAUGAGAGUUUGUAACACCCAAAGCCGGUGGG
This 1407-nucleotide ribosomal RNA is filed under the name Pediococcus acidilactici. RNAcentral describes it as "bacterial SSU rRNA". It matches the Rfam family "Bacterial small subunit ribosomal RNA", at positions 63 to 1434 of the family's 1533-position model. Lineage: Bacteria; Bacillati; Bacillota; Bacilli; Lactobacillales; Lactobacillaceae. The record is from RNAcentral.